CUGGAGGUAUCAGAAGUGCGAAUGCUGACAUAAGUAACGAUAAAGCGGGUGAAAAGCCCGCUCGCCGGAAGACCAAGGGUUCCUGUCCAACGUUAAUCGGGGCAGGGUGAGUCGACCCCUAAGGCGAGGCCGAAAGGCGUAGUCGAUGGGAAACAGGUUAAUAUUCCUGUACUUGGUGUUACUGCGAAGGGGGGACGGAGAAGGCUAUGUUGGCCGGGCGACGGUUGUCCCGGUUUAAGCGUGUAGGCUGGUUUUCCAGGCAAAUCCGGAAAAUCAAGGCUGAGGCGUGAUGACGAGGCACUACGGUGCUGAAGCAACAAAUGCCCUGCUUCCAGGAAAAGCCUCUAAGCAUCAGGUAACAUCAAAUCGUACCCCAAACCGACACAGGUGGUCAGGUAGAGAAUACCAAGGCGCUUGAGAGAACUCGGGUGAAGGAACUAGGCAAAAUGGUGCCGUAACUUCGGGAGAAGGCACGCUGAUAUGUAGG
RNAcentral lists this ribosomal RNA (487 nucleotides) under Escherichia coli. RNAcentral describes it as "partial 23S ribosomal RNA". It matches the Rfam family "Bacterial large subunit ribosomal RNA", at positions 1273 to 1762 of the family's 2925-position model. Lineage: Bacteria; Pseudomonadati; Pseudomonadota; Gammaproteobacteria; Enterobacterales; Enterobacteriaceae. The record is from RNAcentral.